Molecule: transfer RNA, 90 nt
Filed under: Macrococcus armenti
Lineage: Bacteria; Bacillati; Bacillota; Bacilli; Caryophanales; Staphylococcaceae
Description: tRNA-Ser
Rfam family: tRNA
About the family: Transfer RNA (tRNA) molecules are approximately 80 nucleotides in length. Their secondary structure includes four short double-helical elements and three loops (D, anti-codon, and T loops). Further hydrogen bonds mediate the characteristic L-shaped molecular structure. tRNAs have two regions of fundamental functional importance: the anti-codon, which is responsible for specific mRNA codon recognition, and the 3' end, to which the tRNAs corresponding amino acid is attached (by aminoacyl-tRNA synthetases). tRNAs cope with the degeneracy of the genetic code in two manners: having more than one tRNA (with a specific anti-codon) for a particular amino acid; and 'wobble' base-pairing, i.e. permitting non-standard base-pairing at the 3rd anti-codon position.
Source: RNAcentral
GGAUCGUUGUCCGAGUUGGCUGAAGGAGCACGCCUGGAAAGUGUGUAAACGUAUAAUUGCGUUUCGAGGGUUCGAAUCCCUCACGAUCCG